ACUACGGGUGGCAGCAGUGAGGAAUAUUGGUCAAUGGGCUUACGCCUGAACCAGCCAAGUCGCGUGAGGGAAGACUGCCCUAUGGGUUGUAAACCUCUUUUGUCAGGGAGCAACGCCGGCUACGUGUAGCCGGACUGAGAGUACCUGAAGAAAAAGCAUCGGCUAACCCCGUGCCAGCAGCCGCGGGAAUACGGAGAAUGCGAGCUUUAUCCGGAUUUAGUUGGUUUAAAGGGUGCGGAUGCGGAAGAUACAGUCAGAGGUAAAAUUGAGAGGCUCAACCUCUUCGAGCCGUUGAAACUGGUUUUGUUGAGUGCGUGAGAAGUAUGCGGAAUGCGUGGUGUAGCGGUGAAAUGCAUAGAUAUCACGCAGAACUCCGAUUGCGAAGGCAGCAUACCGGCGCUCAACUGACGCUCAUGCACGAAAGUGUGGGUAUCGAACAGGAUUAGAUACCCGGGUAGUC
RNAcentral lists this ribosomal RNA (460 nucleotides) under uncultured bacterium. Its description in RNAcentral is "partial 16S ribosomal RNA". It matches the Rfam family "Bacterial small subunit ribosomal RNA", at positions 338 to 795 of the family's 1533-position model. The record is from RNAcentral.